UACAUUUUGGAUGUAUGAAAGAAAACUUGACCAUUUGAAGAUGUAUGAAUAAAGAAAUGUACUAUAGAUACUACUUUAGGAAAACACUGUUUGUAGUCGUGAAAGAUGCCAAAUUGGCAGAGGCUCACGCUUCUUCUCUUUACACCAAACAGAGAGAGAACAUCACUGCCUGAAUUUAGCUUUGUGACUACACGAGCAAGCCCUGUUUUGUCCUGUCUGGAGACGACUGUUAAUAAUAUCAUCCUGUCAUUUGGUUUGCUCUCUAUCAACCUGACUAGAUGUUUACAUGUACUGUGAUGACCAUUUUAUCUUUACAGUCUGUACAAGGACAUCUGAGUCCAGACGUGUAUCAAAUGUGUGAGGUUAUGACCUUAGUUAGAAGUGCUUUCUUCCCUUUGUAGCAAUUUAAUUUGUAAAACACCUUAAGAAGGAACAAGGCCUUUUAGUUUCCUUAUGAGAUGUAUUAUGUCUCGGGCAAAUUGAGAAAAAUGUUUGGGAAAUCUAUGAAGCCCUGAGAGCAUUAAUUGAACAGUUUAGAAUGAAGAAAAUGAAUUAAAAAGUUAAACAU
RNAcentral lists this long non-coding RNA (568 nucleotides) under Rattus norvegicus (Norway rat). Its description in RNAcentral is "long non-coding RNA NONRATT011167". The record is from RNAcentral. Lineage: Eukaryota; Metazoa; Chordata; Mammalia; Rodentia; Muridae.